Non-coding RNA from Bacteroidales bacterium WCE2004, 108 nucleotides. NCBI's taxonomy places the organism in Bacteria, Pseudomonadati, Bacteroidota, Bacteroidia, Bacteroidales. The record is from Rfam.
UUGCAGCGGGAAAGUCGUACACGACCAGCUCCCUCUGAACUCCCCCAGGGCCGGAAGGCAGCAAGGGCAGGAGGUUGUAGCGGUGCGAUGUACUAAGCUUUCCCUUUU